Molecule: small nuclear RNA, 197 nt
Filed under: Gossypium hirsutum (cotton)
Lineage: Eukaryota; Viridiplantae; Streptophyta; Magnoliopsida; Malvales; Malvaceae
Description: U2 spliceosomal RNA
Rfam family: U2 spliceosomal RNA
About the family: U2 is a small nuclear RNA (snRNA) component of the spliceosome (involved in pre-mRNA splicing). Complementary binding between U2 snRNA (in an area lying towards the 5' end but 3' to hairpin I) and the branchpoint sequence (BPS) of the intron results the bulging out of an unpaired adenosine, on the BPS, which initiates a nucleophilic attack at the intronic 5' splice site, thus starting the first of two transesterification reactions that mediate splicing.
Source: Rfam by way of RNAcentral
CCACCUUUCUCGGCCUUUUGGCUAAGAUCAAGUGUAGUACCUGUUCUUGUCAGUUUGAUAUCUAAUACGUGAUCCAUUGGAUCACACGAUAUUAAAUUUAAUUUUUCAGUGGGCGAGUACAUCACAGUAGCUGGCUACUGGGGUUCUCGAGCGUUAUCCAGGUUUUGCACAACUGCUUGGGCACAAAAUUAACUUAU